AGUGAACGCUGGCGGUAGGCCUAACACAUGCAAGUCGAACGGCAGCACAGUAAGAGCUUGCUCUUACGGGUGGCGAGUGGCGGACGGGUGAGGAAUACAUCGGAAUCUACUUUUUCGUGGGGGAUAACGUAGGGAAACUUACGCUAAUACCGCAUACGACCUACGGGUGAAAGCAGGGGAUCUUCGGACCUUGCGCGAUUGAAUGAGCCGAUGUCGGAUUAGCUAGUUGGCGGGGUAAAGGCCCACCAAGGCGACGAUCCGUAGCUGGUCUGAGAGGAUGGUCAGCCACACUGGAACUGGAACACGGUCCAGACUCCUACGGGAGGCAGCAGUGGGGAAUAUUGGACAAUGGGCGCAAGCCUGAUCCAGCCAUACCGCGUGGGUGAAGAAGGCCUUCGGGUUGUAAAGCCCUUUUGUUGGGAAAGAAAAGCAGCAGGUUAAUACCCCGCUGUCCUGACGGUACCCAAAGAAUAAGCACCGGCUAACUUCGUG
This 492-nucleotide ribosomal RNA is filed under the name uncultured bacterium. RNAcentral describes it as "partial 16S ribosomal RNA". It matches the Rfam family "Bacterial small subunit ribosomal RNA", at positions 29 to 507 of the family's 1533-position model. The record is from RNAcentral.